The sequence is a transfer RNA, 97 nucleotides long. It matches the Rfam family "tRNA". Rfam says of the family: Transfer RNA (tRNA) molecules are approximately 80 nucleotides in length. Their secondary structure includes four short double-helical elements and three loops (D, anti-codon, and T loops).
GCCGGGCUAGCUCAAUCGGUAGAGCGUGAGACUCUUAUCAUCAACGCAUGAAUCAGAGAUUCAUCUGAAGGUUGCGGGUUCGACCCCGCGUUGGGCU